This 413-nucleotide ribosomal RNA is filed under the name Hypotrichomonas blattarum. Its description in RNAcentral is "SSU rRNA". It matches the Rfam family "Eukaryotic small subunit ribosomal RNA", at positions 1311 to 1777 of the family's 1831-position model. The record is from RNAcentral. Lineage: Eukaryota; Parabasalia; Hypotrichomonadida; Hypotrichomonadidae.
CUGUCUAGCGUUGAUUCAGCUAACGAGCGAGAUUAUCGCCAAUUACUUAGUCCGUUGGAUUUUUCCACUCGGUCUUCUAAUUGGGACUCCCUGCGAUUAAGCAGGAGGAAGAGGGUAGCAAUAACAGGUCCGUGAUGUCCUUUAGAUGCUCUGGGCUGCACGCGUGCUACAAUGUUAGUCACAAAGGGAUGCUCGCCUGAUAGGGUUAGCUACUCCCAGAAUGUCUAACGUAGUUGGGAUUGAUGAUUGUAAUCAUCAUCAUGAACCAGGAAUCCCUUGUAAAUGUGUGUCAACACCGCACGUUGAAUACGUCCCUGCCCUUUGUACACACCGCCCGUCGCUCCUACCGAUUGGAUGACUCGGUGAAAUCACUGGACCCUACGGGGAAAAGUUAUUAAAUCACGUUAUCUAGA